CACGAGACGAGGAUUUUCCAACGUUAGCUCCGUUUCACGUCUAACAAUCACGUAAACAGUAUACCUACAAGUUUCGACGACCGGUCGAUUCCUCAGUUCUCUCUAAGAAUUAGGCCGGAGUGGUUGAGACGUGUGUAAUAAAAUCUGAGUUAUUAAAAUCUGUGAGUGAAAAUUAUUGUCGUAUUCGGAGCGUCUCGGAGGUGAUCCACGGAGGGAAUGACGAUCUUCGACGCCCUGUCGACUCUCGGCCAUGCGAACGCGGUUUCAAUUGUAUAAUAUCAGCGUCAUUAUCGAGAUUACCGGGGAUCCGGCUACGUC
This 318-nucleotide unclassified non-coding RNA is filed under the name Athalia rosae (coleseed sawfly). RNAcentral's name for it is "misc RNA ENSAEAG00005011270.1". Lineage: Eukaryota; Metazoa; Arthropoda; Insecta; Hymenoptera; Athaliidae. The record is from RNAcentral.